AACGAACGCUGGCGGCAUGCCUAACACAUGCAAGUCGAACGGGAUCCUGGCUUCGGCCAGGUGAGAGUGGCGGACGGGUGAGUAACGCGUGGGAACCUGCCCAUUGGUCUGGGAUAACUGCGGGAAACUGCAGCUAAUACCGGAUGUACCCGAGAGGGGAAAGAUUUAUCGCCGAUGGAGGGGCCCGCGUCAGAUUAGGUAGUUGGUGAGGUAACGGCUCACCAAGCCUACGAUCUGUAGCUUGGUCUGAGAGGAUGAUCAGCCACACUGGGACUGAGAUACGGCCCAGACUCCUACGGGAGGCAGCAGUGGGGAAUAUUGGACAAUGGGGGCAACCCUGAUCCAGCAAUGCCGCGUGAGUGAUGAAGGCCUUAGGGUUGUAAAGCUCUUUUACCAGGGACGAUGAUGACGGUACCUGGAGAAUAAGCCCCGGCUAACUUCGUGCCAGCAGCCGCGGUAAU
Molecule: ribosomal RNA, 461 nt
Filed under: uncultured bacterium
Lineage: Bacteria
Description: bacterial SSU rRNA
Rfam family: Bacterial small subunit ribosomal RNA
Source: RNAcentral